Molecule: ribosomal RNA, 497 nt
Filed under: uncultured bacterium
Lineage: Bacteria
Description: partial 16S ribosomal RNA
Rfam family: Bacterial small subunit ribosomal RNA
Source: RNAcentral
GACGAACGCUGGCGGCGUGCCUAGUACAUGCAAGUUGAGCGCUGAAGGUUGGUACUUGUACCAACUGGAUGAGCAGCGAACGGGUGAGUAACGCGUGGGGAAUCUGCCUUUGAGCGGGGGACAACAUUUGGAAACGAAUGCUAAUACCGCAUAAAAACUUUAAACACAAGUUUUAAGUUUGAAAGAUGCAAUUGCAUCACUCAAAGAUGAUCCCGCGUUGUAUUAGCUAGUUGGUGAGGUAAAGGCUCACCAAGGCGAUGAUACAUAGCCGACCUGAGAGGGUGAUCGGCCACAUUGGGACUGAGACACGGCCCAAACUCCUACGGGAGGCAGCAGUAGGGAAUCUUCGGCAAUGGACGAAAGUCUGACCGAGCAACGCCGCGGGAGGGAAGAAGGGUUUCGGAUCGUAAAACUCUGUUGGUAGAGAAGAACGUUGGUGAGAGUGGAAAGCUCAUCAAGUGACGGUAACUACCCAGAAAGGGACGGCUAACUACGUG